This is a long non-coding RNA of Rattus rattus (black rat), 314 nucleotides long. RefSeq lists it as uncharacterized. The record is from RefSeq and is a predicted model, not a curated record. NCBI's taxonomy places the organism in Eukaryota, Metazoa, Chordata, Mammalia, Rodentia, Muridae. The transcript is spliced from 3 exons.
AUCCGGUUCCUGUCGGCCUGCUUGAUUCUUCCCUGGGUUGAAGUGGAAGCCAAAAGCACCUUCUGAAAGCACUGUGAUUUCAGGGAUUGAGCAGAGCUCCACCACCAGUUCACACAGGCAUUGAGAAGAAAAUCAAGAAACAUUCUCAUGUGGGGAAUUAUCGAAUAGAUCAAGCUCAGUUCCAUAUUUCUUCUCAAUCCCUCCUUGAUUCCUACACACCCAACUUUGUGUGUUCUUUUUCCUCUAAAACCAUGAAGAAGACAAUGAUGAUGAGAAGAAGGGGAAGAAGAGUAGGAAAUGGGGCAGCAGGAGGA